Molecule: ribosomal RNA, 497 nt
Filed under: uncultured bacterium
Lineage: Bacteria
Description: partial 16S ribosomal RNA
Rfam family: Bacterial small subunit ribosomal RNA
Source: RNAcentral
GAUGAACGCUGGCGGCGUGCCUAAUACAUGCAAGUCGAGCGAACAGACGAGGAGCUUGCUCCUCUGACGUUAGCGGCGGACGGGUGAGUAACACGUGGAUAACCUACCUAUAAGACUGGGAUAACUUCGGGAAACCGGAGCUAAUACCGGAUAAUAUAUUGAACCGCAUGGUUCAAUAGUGAAAGACGGUUUUGCUGUCACUUAUAGAUGGAUCCACGCCGCAUUAGCUAGUUGGUAAGGUAACGGCUUACCAAGGCAACGAUGCGUAGCCGACCUGAGAGGGUGAUCGGCCACACUGGAACUGCGACACGGUCCAGACUCCUACGGGAGGCAGCAGUAGGGAAUCUUCCGCAAUGGGCGAAAGCCUGACGGAGCAACGCCGCGUGAGUGAUGAAGGUCUUCGGAUCGUAAAACUCUGUUAUUAGGGAAGAACAAAUGUGUAAGUAACUAUGCACGUCUUGACGGUACCUAAUCAGAAAGCCACGGCUAACUACGUG